RNAcentral lists this transfer RNA (71 nucleotides) under Camelus bactrianus (Bactrian camel). It matches the Rfam family "tRNA". Rfam says of the family: Transfer RNA (tRNA) molecules are approximately 80 nucleotides in length. Lineage: Eukaryota; Metazoa; Chordata; Mammalia; Artiodactyla; Camelidae. The record is from Rfam by way of RNAcentral. RNAcentral also lists the same sequence under 1 other name.
GAGGGUAGAGCUCGGUGGUAGAGCGUGUGCUCAACAUGCGUAAGGUCCUGGGUUCGAUCCCCAGUACCUCA